This is a non-coding RNA of Pelobates cultripes (western spadefoot toad), 212 nucleotides long. The record is from the annotation of a GenBank genome assembly. Lineage: Eukaryota; Metazoa; Chordata; Amphibia; Anura; Pelobatidae.
GCCCUAAAACAGGUGGAAGCUUCUCAAACACACACCCCAGGAAACAGAAAAGGUUACGUUCAUGUCACCAUGACAGAAAAGGUUACGUACUUCACCACCCUAUCUCCACUCGCUUGAGCUAAUAUGGAGUUAUUAACGGGACCUGUGGGUCUUCUCCACUCUGAUAAGCUACUAGGUAGCCUACUCUAUACCUUAUAUGGUGACAAUUUAUU